Thalassophryne amazonica is the source of this 135-nucleotide long non-coding RNA. RefSeq lists it as uncharacterized. The transcript is spliced from 3 exons. The record is from RefSeq and is a predicted model, not a curated record. Lineage: Eukaryota; Metazoa; Chordata; Actinopteri; Batrachoidiformes; Batrachoididae.
CUGCAGUUUAAGAACAUGUUGAUGGAUCUGAGAGUUUUCUUAAGAACCUUCUUAGGGACAGCUUAAGAAGGAAUCUAAGAAGAUUCUUAAGAAGAUAUUGGUGAAUGAGACCCAUUCUGUUUCAAUGUUCAAUCA